This 232-nucleotide unclassified non-coding RNA is filed under the name uncultured Verrucomicrobiae bacterium. RNAcentral's name for it is "contains 16S-23S intergenic spacer region". It matches the Rfam family "Bacterial small subunit ribosomal RNA", at positions 976 to 1197 of the family's 1533-position model. The record is from RNAcentral. Lineage: Bacteria; Pseudomonadati; Verrucomicrobiota; Verrucomicrobiia.
UGGCCUUGACAUGCAUGUGGUAGAACCAUGAAAGUGGGACGACCCCGCAAGGGGAGCAUGCACAGGUGCUGCAUGGCUGUCGUCAGCUCGUGUCGUGAGAUGUUGGGUUAAGUCCCGCAACGAGCGCAACCCCCGUGUCCUGUUGCCAACCGAACGAGAGUUUGGAGCACUCUGGACAGACUGCCUCGCUCAAACGGGGAGGAAGGUGGGGAUGACGUGGCACGCAAUAACA